This 484-nucleotide ribosomal RNA is filed under the name uncultured bacterium. Its description in RNAcentral is "partial 16S ribosomal RNA". It matches the Rfam family "Bacterial small subunit ribosomal RNA", at positions 30 to 507 of the family's 1533-position model. The record is from RNAcentral.
AUUGAACGCUAGCGGGAUGCUUUACACAUGCAAGUCGAACGGCAGCGCGGACUUCGGUCUGGCGGCGAGUGGCGAACGGGUGAGUAAUUUAUCGGAACGUGCCCAGUAGCGGGGGAUAACUACGAGAAAGCGUAGCUAAUACCGCAUACGCCCUACGGGGGAAAGCAGGGGAUCGUAAGACCUUUCACUAUUGGAGCGGCCGAUGUCGGAUUAGCUAGUUGGUGAGGUAACGGCUCACCAAGGCGACGAGCCGUAGCUGGUUUGAGAGGACGACCAGCCACACUGGGACUGAGACACGGCCCAGACUCCUACGGGAGGCAGCAGUGGGGAAUUUUGGACAAUGGGGGCAACCCUGAUCCAGCCAUCCCGCGUGUGCGAAGAAGGCCUUCGGGUUGUAAAGCACUUUUGGCAGGAAAGAAACGUCGCGGGCUAAUACCCCGUGGAACUGACGGUACCUGAAGAAUAAGCACCGGCUAACUACGUG